GCUUAGAUUCUUCGGAUGAAGAGGAUUGUGACUGAGCGGCGGACGGGUGAGUAACGCGUGGGUAACCUGCCUCAUACAGGGGGAUAACAGUUAGAAAUGACUGCUAAUACCGCAUAAGACCACAGCACCGCAUGGUGCGGGGGUAAAAACUCCGGUGGUAUGAGAUGGACCCGCGUCUGAUUAGCUAGUUGGUAAGGUAACGGCUUACCAAGGCGACGAUCAGUAGCCGACCUGAGAGGGUGACCGGCCACAUUGGGACUGAGACACGGCCCAAACUCCUACGGGAGGCAGCAGUGGGGAAUAUUGCACAAUGGGGGAAACCCUGAUGCAGCGACGCCGCGUGAGCGAAGAAGUAUUUCGGUAUGUAAAGCUCUAUCAGCAGGGAAGAAAAUGACGGUACCUGACUAAGAAGCACCGGCUAAAUACGUGCCAGCAGCCGCGGUAAUACGUAUGGUGCAAGCGUUAUCCGGAUUUACUGGGUGUAAAGGGAGCGUAGACGGAUGGGCAAGUCUGAUGUGAAAACCCGGGGCUCAACCCCGGGACUGCAUUGGAAACUGUUCAUCUAGAGUGCUGGAGAGGUAAGUGGAAUUCCUAGUGUAGCGGUGAAAUGCGUAGAUAUUAGGAGGAACACCAGUGGCGAAGGCGGCUUACUGGACAGUAACUGACGUUGA
This 671-nucleotide ribosomal RNA is filed under the name uncultured Lachnospiraceae bacterium. RNAcentral describes it as "bacterial SSU rRNA". It matches the Rfam family "Bacterial small subunit ribosomal RNA", at positions 66 to 749 of the family's 1533-position model. Lineage: Bacteria; Bacillati; Bacillota; Clostridia; Lachnospirales; Lachnospiraceae. The record is from RNAcentral.